This 430-nucleotide ribosomal RNA is filed under the name Bacteroidota bacterium. RNAcentral describes it as "Bacteroidetes bacterium partial 16S ribosomal RNA". It matches the Rfam family "Bacterial small subunit ribosomal RNA", at positions 355 to 776 of the family's 1533-position model. The record is from RNAcentral. Lineage: Bacteria; Pseudomonadati; Bacteroidota.
UAGGGAAUCUUCGGCAAUGGGGGGAACCCUGACCGAGCAACGCCGCGUGAGUGAAGAAGGUUUUCGGAUCGUAAAGCUCUGUUGUUAAGGAAGAACGAGUGUGAGAAUGGAAUGUUCAUGCUGUGACGGUACUUAACCAGAAAGGGACGGCUAACUACGUGCCAGCAGCCGCGGUAAUACGUAGGUCCCGAGCGUUGUCCGGAUUUAUUGGGCGUAAAGCGAGCGCAGGCGGUCAAUUAAGUCUGAUGUGAAAGCCCCCGGCUCAACCGGGGAGGGUCAUUGGAAACUGGUUGACUUGAGUGCAGAAGAGGAGAGUGGAAUUCCAUGUGUAGCGGUGAAAUGCGUAGAUAUAUGGAGGAACACCAGUGGCGAAGGCGACUCUCUGGUCUGUAACUGACGCUGAGGCUCGAAAGCGUGGGUAGCAAACAGG